UACGGAGGGUGCAAGCGUUAUCCGGAUUCAUUGGGUUUAAAGGGUGCGUAGGUGGGUUGGUAAGUCAGUGGUGAAAUCCCCGAGCUUAACUUGGGAACUGCCAUUGAUACUAUCAGUCUUGAAUACCGUGGAGGUCAGUGGAAUAUGUCAUGUAGCGGUGAAAUGCAUAGAUAUGACUUAGAACACCAAUUGCGAAGGCAGCUUACUAAACAGUUAUUGACGCUGAGGCACGAAAGCGUGGGGAUCAAACAGG
RNAcentral lists this ribosomal RNA (253 nucleotides) under uncultured bacterium. RNAcentral's name for it is "partial 16S ribosomal RNA". It matches the Rfam family "Bacterial small subunit ribosomal RNA", at positions 524 to 776 of the family's 1533-position model. The record is from RNAcentral.